Molecule: ribosomal RNA, 700 nt
Filed under: Kribbella sp. KP1
Lineage: Bacteria; Bacillati; Actinomycetota; Actinomycetes; Propionibacteriales; Kribbellaceae
Description: bacterial SSU rRNA
Rfam family: Bacterial small subunit ribosomal RNA
Source: RNAcentral
GGUACACGAGCGGCGAACGGGUGAGUAACACGUGAGCAACCUACCCUCAACUUCGGGAUAAGCCUCGGAAACGGGGUCUAAUACCGGAUAUCACCAGCUUCCUCAUGGUUGUUGGUUGAAAGUUCUGGCGGUUGGGGAUGGGCUCGCGGCCUAUCAGCUUGUUGGUGGGGUAAUGGCCUACCAAGGCGUCGACGGGUAGCCGGCCUGAGAGGGCGACCGGCCACACUGGGACUGAGACACGGCCCAGACUCCUACGGGAGGCAGCAGUGGGGAAUAUUGCGCAAUGGACGAAAGUCUGACGCAGCAACGCCGCGUGAGGGAUGACGGCCUUCGGGUUGUAAACCUCUUUCAGCAGGGACGAAGCGAGAGUGACGGUACCUGCAGAAGAAGGACCGGCCAACUACGUGCCAGCAGCCGCGGUAAUACGUAGGGUCCGAGCGUUGUCCGGAAUUAUUGGGCGUAAAGGGCUCGUAGGCGGUUCGUCACGUCGGGAGUGAAAACUCGGAGCUCAACUCCGAGCCUGCUUCCGAUACGGGCAGACUAGAGGUAGGCAGGGGAGAGCGGAACUCCUGGUGUAGCGGUGGAAUGCGCAGAUAUCAGGAAGAACACCGGUGGCGAAGGCGGCUCUCUGGGCCUUACCUGACGCUGAGGAGCGAAAGCGUGGGUAGCGAACAGGAUUAGAUACCCUGGUAGUCCACGC